UAGGGAUUCUUCCGCAAUGGGCGAAAGCUUGACGGAGCAACGCCGCGUGAGUGAUGAAGGUCUUCGGAUCGUAAAACUCUGUUAUUAGGGAAGAACAAAUGUGUAAGUAACUAUGCACGUCUUGACGGUACCUAAUCAGAAAGCCACGGCUAACUACGUGCCAGCAGCCGCGGUAAUACGUAGGUGGCAAGCGUUAUCCGGACUUAUUGGGCGUAAAGCGCGCGUAGGCGGCUUUUUAAGUCUGAUGUGAAAGCCCACGGCUCAACCGUGGAGGGUCAUUGGAAACUGGAAAACUUGAGUGCAGAAGACGAAAGUUGAAUUCCAUGUGUAGCGGUGAAAUGCGCAGAGAUAUGGAGGAACACCAGUGGCGAAGGCGACUUUCUGGUCUGUAACUGACGCUGAUGUGCGAAAGCGUGGGGAUCAAACAGG
RNAcentral lists this ribosomal RNA (429 nucleotides) under Actinomycetes bacterium. RNAcentral describes it as "Actinobacteria bacterium partial 16S ribosomal RNA". It matches the Rfam family "Bacterial small subunit ribosomal RNA", at positions 355 to 776 of the family's 1533-position model. Lineage: Bacteria; Bacillati; Actinomycetota; Actinomycetes. The record is from RNAcentral.